Molecule: long non-coding RNA, 1311 nt
Organism: Quercus robur (English oak)
Lineage: Eukaryota; Viridiplantae; Streptophyta; Magnoliopsida; Fagales; Fagaceae
Exons: 5
Source: RefSeq, a predicted model, not a curated record
UCAUCCCUUCCUUGACUUUUCAAAGUAACUAGAAUUCCAAGAAGCUCUCUCUCCCUCUCUAUUCCCACGGGUCCAAGAAAAAUCUGAAAUUCUCACUUCACUUUUCUCUCUUUUCUCUUAAGGAAAGAGCUAGGAAGCUCUCUUGAGUCUUCUCUCAAGUCCACGGGUCCACACACCAAAAGAAAGUUGAAGCUCUAUCUCAUUUCUCUUCAUAUUCUCUCAAAGAAACUAGAAAACUCAAAGAAAACUCUCUCAAGCUCUCUACCUCUCACACUUUCGGGUCUAGCCACUAGGAAAGGGAAAUCCUUUCAUGCAAGAGUGAUUCUAUUCCUAUUUUCCCCUUAAGAACCUGAAACUUGGUGUUACCAGUACCCAAGUCUAAGCUUCUUCGACUGUAGGCUUUCAGCUCCUCUGCUUUCAGACAUUCUCUCUCAUCUCUCAAAUGUUCUCUUUCAUCUCUCAGCUCUCUACUUCCAUGGCUGGACCUCGUCAUGGCUGAAGCUCACAUGACCACUACAAAGGCAGCUUCUUCUUUGUCUGGAUUUGAUGAUUUGUAUGGAGGAGAUAGAGAUGGAAGAGAGUCAGGGGGAUCGAAGAGAGAGAGAAUUGAUGGAGAAGAGAGAGAAGGGAGAGAAAAAACUAUUAAAAAAAGAAUAUUCAAAGCUAUAGUAACCCAUGUAUAUAUAUAUAUAUAUAUAUAUAUAUAUAUAUACGGUUAUUGUAGCAAGUUUGGAUAUUUACAAACCUUUACAAGCUCUAAUGAUUACUUUUGUAAUACAUGUUCGAGAGAGCGAGGAAGAGACCUGCGUGGCUAUGUGUGGAGGUAACUAGGUAAGAAGUGAAAAAGAAAAGAGAAAAGAAUAUAAGGAAGAAGUGAACAAGUGGAUGAGAAAAAGGAGAAGAGAGAAGGAAAAAGAAAAAGUUUUCGGGGUUUAGGAUUUAUGUAAUGUGGAAGACUUGCAUCUAGGUAAAAAUAUAUAUAUAUAUAUAUAUAUAUAUAUAUGGAAGACCUGCACUGAUGUAAAUAGAAUUUUAAAGAUUAUGUAGGGGGCGGUUUCUUAAAUCUAAGCCCAACUUGCUAAGAUUUGGCAAGGAUAGAGGCCCAAUACAACUAAUUUGUAGACAUGGGGAGUUAAGGCCAACACAUUGUGUCCUUGCAACUACGACUUGAUAACUAAAGGAAUGGGAUUAGCUAAAAUGAUAAUACUUGAUAGAAACUUAGUAGGAAAAGAAAGAUUAUUAUUUAUUUCAUUCCUCGGGCUAGCCGAGGAUCACUUGUUCUUAAGAAAUACAAUUCUUUUUCUCUCUUUA